This 63-nucleotide transfer RNA is filed under the name Candidatus Micrarchaeum sp. AZ1. It matches the Rfam family "tRNA". Rfam says of the family: Transfer RNA (tRNA) molecules are approximately 80 nucleotides in length. Their secondary structure includes four short double-helical elements and three loops (D, anti-codon, and T loops). Further hydrogen bonds mediate the characteristic L-shaped molecular structure. tRNAs have two regions of fundamental functional importance: the anti-codon, which is responsible for specific mRNA codon recognition, and the 3' end, to which the tRNAs corresponding amino acid is attached (by aminoacyl-tRNA synthetases). tRNAs cope with the degeneracy of the genetic code in two manners: having more than one tRNA (with a specific anti-codon) for a particular amino acid; and 'wobble' base-pairing, i.e. permitting non-standard base-pairing at the 3rd anti-codon position. Lineage: Archaea; Nanobdellati; Microcaldota; Candidatus Micrarchaeia; Candidatus Micrarchaeales; Candidatus Micrarchaeaceae. The record is from Rfam by way of RNAcentral.
GCCACCAUAAAAGGACGGCGGCCUCUGGAGCCGUAAACGCCAGUUCGAAUCUGGCUGGAGCUA